This 251-nucleotide ribosomal RNA is filed under the name uncultured bacterium. RNAcentral's name for it is "partial 16S ribosomal RNA". It matches the Rfam family "Bacterial small subunit ribosomal RNA", at positions 524 to 776 of the family's 1533-position model. The record is from RNAcentral.
UACGGAGGAUGCGAGCGUUAUCCGGAUUUAUUGGGUUUAAAGGGUGCGUAGGCGGAUGCCAAGUCAGCGGUAAAAAUGCGGUGCUCAACGCCGUCGAGCCGUUGAAACUGGCGUUCUUGAGUGGGCGAGAAGUAUGCGGAAUGCGUGGUGUAGCGGUGAAAUGCAUAGAUAUCACGCAGAACUCCGAUUGCGAAGGCAGCAUACCGGCGCCCUACUGACGCUGAGGCACGAAAGCGUGGGUAUCGAACAGG